RNAcentral lists this long non-coding RNA (254 nucleotides) under Vigna radiata. Its description in RNAcentral is "long non-coding RNA (VRAD_LNC003843)". Lineage: Eukaryota; Viridiplantae; Streptophyta; Magnoliopsida; Fabales; Fabaceae. The record is from RNAcentral.
GGGGAGACAAAAAGGGGAUUCACGCACAACAAAGACGGCUUCUUCAUCUUCUUCUUCGGCAGCUUUUCAUACUUUUGUUUUUUUUGAACUUCCUUUACAUUAUGCAGAACUAAAUUUCCUUUUGUUAGUGGAUUGAUGUAGUACUUUGGAUUAUAUUUUCUGAACCUUUUCAAUUGAUGUCAAGUUCAUUUUAAUUAUCCCAGUGUUCUAUUUAUGUUUUAAUGUCUAUUCUAUGAGCAGUUUCACAGUUGGGA